CAGUCGCCGCGGUAAAACGAAGGGGGCUAGCGUUGCUCGGAAUGACUGGGCGUAAAGGGCGCGUAGGCGGCGAUCAAAGUCAGGCGUGAAAUUCCUGGGCUCAACCUGGGGGCUGCGCUUGAUACUUGGUUGCUUGAGUGGGGAAGAGGGUCGUGGAAUUCCCAGUGUAGAGGUGAAAUUCGUAGAUAUUGGGAAGAACACCGGUGGCGAAGGCGGCGACCUGGUCCUUGACUGACGCUGAGGCGCGAAAGCGUGGGGAGCAAACAGGAUUAGAUACCCCAGUAGUCCCUGUCUCUUAUAC
Molecule: ribosomal RNA, 301 nt
Filed under: uncultured bacterium
Lineage: Bacteria
Description: partial 16S ribosomal RNA
Rfam family: Bacterial small subunit ribosomal RNA
Source: RNAcentral